Molecule: non-coding RNA, 135 nt
Organism: Triticum aestivum (bread wheat)
Lineage: Eukaryota; Viridiplantae; Streptophyta; Magnoliopsida; Poales; Poaceae
Source: Rfam
UUUGUACUCCCUCCGUCCCAAAAUUCUCAUCUUAAAUUUGUCUAAAUACGGAUGUAUCUAGUUACAUUUUAGUGUUAGAUACAUCUGUAUCUAAACAAAUGUAAGACAAGAAUUUUGGGACGGAGGGAAUACUAC